This 619-nucleotide ribosomal RNA is filed under the name Saccharomyces cerevisiae (brewer's yeast). RNAcentral describes it as "partial large subunit ribosomal RNA". It matches the Rfam family "Eukaryotic large subunit ribosomal RNA", at positions 36 to 668 of the family's 3401-position model. Lineage: Eukaryota; Fungi; Ascomycota; Saccharomycetes; Saccharomycetales; Saccharomycetaceae. The record is from RNAcentral.
UGCCAAUCUCACAAACGGAGGAAAAGAAACCAACCGGGAUUGCCUUAGUAACGGCGAGUGAAGCGGCAAAAGCUCAAAUUUGAAAUCUGGUACCUUCGGUGCCCGAGUUGUAAUUUGGAGAGGGCAACUUUGGGGCCGUUCCUUGUCUAUGUUCCUUGGAACAGGACGUCAUAGAGGGUGAGAAUCCCGUGUGGCGAGGAGUGCGGUUCUUUGUAAAGUGCCUUCGAAGAGUCGAGUUGUUUGGGAAUGCAGCUCUAAGUGGGUGGUAAAUUCCAUCUAAAGCUAAAUAUUGGCGAGAGACCGAUAGCGAACAAGUACAGUGAUGGAAAGAUGAAAAGAACUUUGAAAAGAGAGUGAAAAAGUACGUGAAAUUGUUGAAAGGGAAGGGCAUUUGAUCAGACAUGGUGUUUUGUGCCCUCUGCUCCUUGUGGGUAGGGGAAUCUCGCAUUUCACUGGGCCAGCAUCAGUUUUGGUGGCAGGAUAAAUCCAUAGGAAUGUAGCUUGCCUCGGUAAGUAUUAUAGCCUGUGGGAAUACUGCCAGCUGGGACUGAGGACUGCGACGUAAGUCAAGGAUGCUGGCAUAAUGGUUAUAUGCCGCCCGUCUUAACAACCCGGACCA